UCGAAGACUGACAAGUGCACAACACAAGGGAAUGUUAUUAUUGAUAUACAUGUGAAUAUCAUGCAGAGGCUACUUGCAAUUUGUACAGCAAAAGGUUGACCUCAUAGCCUUUAUCCUAUUUUCUUCAGAAGUGCUCCAGCUGGGGAUGCUGCAGAUCAUAUCAGAAAUGCUGGCGUAACCUAAACACCUGACAAAUAGGUUAACGCAGAGAUGAAGGCAGAUCACAGGCAAUUUAUACAGCAAAAGAUUGACAAGAGUCUUCGUUCUAUUUUUCUACAACAGUGCUCGAGGAGAUGUUGCAGUCACAACAAAAAGUGCUGCCAUAACUUGUCUUUUCAGGCUUAACUGAUGCACCUGUCAACGAAGGUGGAAUCUGAAUCUUAUUAUAUGAGGUUUGGUUUCAGGUUUAUGAUUUUUUUAAAAUAAAAGGGUUAUGUAAAAUGACAUCAAGAAUAUAGCAAAGACAUUACCUUACUGUUCCACCUUGUUUUGUGUAUGAGCACUCUCAGAUCUUAUCAAAGGUGAAAUAAAGCUUAUGGCUGACAUCAUGUGAGUGAGAGCUAGUUUAGAAAUUUUAGGCGGGUUCAGUAGUGCAAAACUAACAUAGCAAGGGGCACCAAACUUCUCAACAGUCCCAAGGCAUAUCCCAGGCAAGCAUAGUAUAUAAGGAAUUAAGGAUUAACCAUGAGCAGCUGAGCUUCCUGGAAACACCCCGUAGUGGCAUACAGAGAUUAAAAAGUGAUCAGAUAGCAUUUCGAUUUUUUGCAAGCUUUGGGAAUUACAGAUUCAUUGCUUAAUAAUUAGAUCUAAUACAGAAUGCAAUGAUUUACAUUACCUUGGUUGUACGAUUUCCAUGUUCUUAAUAUCUUGUGACAGUUGACAUUCAGAGAAUCAACA
Molecule: long non-coding RNA, 897 nt
Filed under: Setaria italica (foxtail millet)
Lineage: Eukaryota; Viridiplantae; Streptophyta; Magnoliopsida; Poales; Poaceae
Description: long non-coding RNA (SITA_LNC003347)
Source: RNAcentral